UUUCCCCUGCCCUGUUGGUGAUUUACAGAAUUUCUUGAGCCAUUUAUUUAUAAAAGGGCUCCUCCCCUGACAAUGGAAAGAAAAUUCGCUACGCUGAAAUUUCUUGAUGUUGUUAAGAGUACUGCCCACCUGACCAUUGGUUAGGUUCAGAAGGACUGUGGACACGGCAGGUCGGGGGUUUU
Molecule: non-coding RNA, 182 nt
Filed under: Desulfobacterales bacterium
Lineage: Bacteria; Pseudomonadati; Thermodesulfobacteriota; Desulfobacteria; Desulfobacterales
Description: 6S RNA
Rfam family: 6S / SsrS RNA
About the family: E. coli 6S RNA was the first non coding RNA to be sequenced, but its function was unknown until recently.
Source: RNAcentral